GAUGAACGCUGGCGGCGUGCCUAACACAUGCAAGUCGAGCGAUUCUCUUCGGAGAAGAGCGGCGGACGGGUGAGUAACGCGUGGGUAACCUGCCUCAUACACAUGGAUAACAUACCGAAAGGUAUGCUAAUACAGGAUAACAUAAGAGAUUCGCAUGGAUUUCUUAUCAAAGCUCCGGCGGUAUGAGAUGGACCCGCGUCUGAUUAGCUAGUUGGUAAGGUAAUGGCUUACCAAGGCGACGAUCAGUAGCCGACCUGAGAGGGUGAUCGGCCACAUUGGAACUGAGACACGGUCCAAACUCCUACGGGAGGCAGCAGUGGGGAAUAUUGCACAAUGGGCGAAAGCCUGAUGCAGCAACGCCGCGUGAGUGAUGAAGGCCUUCGGGUCGUAAAACUCUGUCCUCAAGGAAGAUAAUGACGGUACUUGAGGAGGAAGCCCCGGCUAACUACGUGCCAGCAGCCGCGGUAAUACGUAGGGGGCUAGCGUUAUCCGGAUUUACUGGGCGUAAAGGGUGCGUAGGUGGUUUCUUAAGUCAGGAGUGAAAGGCUACGGCUCAACCGUAGUAAGCUCUUGAAACUGGGAAACUUGAGUGCAGGAGAGGAAAGUGGAAUUCCUAGUGUAGCGGUGAAAUGCGUAGAUAUUAGGAGGAACACCAGUAGCGAAGGCGGCUUUCUGGACUGUAACUGACACUGAGGCACGAAAGCGUGGGGAGCAACAGGAUUAGAUACCCUGGUAGUCCAAGGGCGAAUUAAGGG
This 755-nucleotide ribosomal RNA is filed under the name uncultured bacterium. RNAcentral's name for it is "bacterial SSU rRNA". It matches the Rfam family "Bacterial small subunit ribosomal RNA", at positions 28 to 812 of the family's 1533-position model. The record is from RNAcentral.